CCUGAUGACAACGUCCCUACAACAGAAGCUACAGAGGAUGAGAUUGCUGAGACAAAUGAGGAUAGGGAGGAGGAGUACGAUACGAGCAUGUAUCAUUUCAGUGAGCAUGUACCUCCAGCGAGGGAGAGCAAGAGCUUGAGCGAAGCUCACAGAAACAACAGCAAGUUUCAGAAGUGGUGCAAGAAACAAGAUAGACUACUCAUCAAGUGCUUCAAGGCCAUCAAGUUUCUGACAGACAAGGUAACCUGCUCCUCUUCUACCAUAGCUAUUCCGCAGGGAGAGCCUCCUCAGGACAUGCCCUCGAGGAGAUAUGACGCGCCAAAGCCAAGUCGCCUUAGGCUAGAGCCAGUUCAACACAGGCCUGAGCCUAGUGACCGAGUAGUCUCACAGGUCCGUGCGAGGUAUUCAUCACUUCACCAUUGUAAUAUACCAUCUCCUGUUUUUAUUUUGUUUAUGUGAUGUGUUUUGUCCUGAGUACUCUCCUCCAAAUUUGGUCACACAGUGGACUGUAUGAUUUAAGUAUGGGGGAGGGCUCAGGAAGUGUGUGUUGCAUUGUAUAUACUCUUGAGUCUGCAUUCAUCUAAGGGAUAGAAAAAAACCAAAAAAAUUGAAAAAUUUCAGAAAAUGAUUUCACAAAAACAGAGUGUUCAUGUAGUUGCAUUACAUUUAGGAUCGAGUCUAGAGUGUUUCAUUUAGGAUUGUUGCUUAUGCAUAGGGGAUAAUGAUGAGAUAGCCUUAUAAGCAUUUUGGUUCACUAGAUAAACUCAGUGCCCUCGUUGUUAGUUGUCUGAUGCGUAGUCAAUGAAAUUGAAGUAAAACUGCACCAUGCCUAGAUUGCUCUACUCGACCACACUAUUAGGAUCUGAUACCAUUCCCUAUCAAUUUGAACUUGAAUAUGAUUUAGAAUUAUCAUGUCUUGGCAUCGAAUUUGAACUCAUGGAUACCCUAAAAUACUUGGAUUUUCUUACUCAUUUUAACCACUCUUGUUAGUCCAAGUAGCUGACUCUCCUUUUCAGAGCAGUAAACCCGAACCCAAACCUAAACUUUCUUUCAAACCCUAUAUCACUUGUGAGUGUCUGUGAGGUCUUAUUUCGAUUGAACUUGGUAGAGAGUGUUAGGUUCGUAAUGACAGAGAUAGUGUCUCAUGUAGUUCUAGUUCACAUUUUUCGGACUGGAUAGGACUAGGUGGGCGCUUAUAUCAUGGUGUGGGAUGUGUUUAAAAGAAAAGGGUGAAUUCAUUGUUGAUAAGGAAAGGGAAAGAAUUCUAGGGGAAGUGAGCUAAAGAAGUUAGAAAAAAAAUCUAGUAAAGGUUUUGGGAAUGUUAAAGAAAAGAAUGAGGUUCUUGUUAGCUAAAGAAGAAGGGUUAAAAGCCUUUGGUUUUAAAGAUUAAAAACAGGAACCCUA
RNAcentral lists this small RNA (1404 nucleotides) under Arabidopsis thaliana (thale cress). RNAcentral describes it as "ATSL272860". The stretch from base 53 to 273 matches the Rfam family "MIR854 microRNA precursor family". Lineage: Eukaryota; Viridiplantae; Streptophyta; Magnoliopsida; Brassicales; Brassicaceae. The record is from RNAcentral.